RNAcentral lists this unclassified non-coding RNA (184 nucleotides) under uncultured Cortinarius. RNAcentral describes it as "sequence contains ITS2". The record is from RNAcentral. Lineage: Eukaryota; Fungi; Basidiomycota; Agaricomycetes; Agaricales; Cortinariaceae.
AAUAUAUCAACCUCUUUUUGAGUGUUGGAAGUGGGGGUCUCUUUUGCUGGUCUCUAUAGAAUCAGCUCCCCUGAAAUGUAUUAGUAGAACAAUCGUGUUCAUUGGUGUGAUAAACUAUUUACACUAUUGACAUGAGCGAAGUUCAGCUUCUAAUAGUCCAUUGACUUGGACAAAAUUUUUAUUA